This is a long non-coding RNA of Clarias gariepinus (North African catfish), 301 nucleotides long. RefSeq lists it as uncharacterized. Lineage: Eukaryota; Metazoa; Chordata; Actinopteri; Siluriformes; Clariidae. The record is from RefSeq and is a predicted model, not a curated record. The transcript has 3 exons.
AUGUUGUAGUUUUUCUGAUUUUAUUGACUUUAAUUAGUGGUUAUGUAUCAAGAAAAGAUCACCCAUAUCCUUACUGGUUCAGAGCCUUGCAAUCGAUCAACGCUACAACAAUGAGAAACCAGGCUCCGUCCCAAACGCUAUCGAGCGUGAAUGUAAAACCUCCAGACCAGACGAUGCCGGAUAUCAUGGACUCCUUGCAGCGUCUAAUCCGCAUUUGGGACAGAGCCGUGAUCUUCGCCCCGAUGUGUUUCGUCACAGUGUGGGAUAAAAGAUGAAACUCUUGCAGCAGAAAUGUCUGAGA